CAACUAGUAGUUUAACGAGAAUAUUAAUUUUGGGUAUUAAAGGUAUAGAGAAUUUUCUAUUUUGUUGA
RNAcentral lists this transfer RNA (68 nucleotides) under Nesophrosyne sp. 242 GMB-2012. RNAcentral's name for it is "tRNA-Pro". Lineage: Eukaryota; Metazoa; Arthropoda; Insecta; Hemiptera; Cicadellidae. The record is from RNAcentral.